GAGGAAUAUUGGACAAUGGGGGCAACCCUGAUCCAGCCAUGCCGCGUGAGUGAAGAAGGCCUUCGGGUUGUAAAGCUCUUUCAAUAGUGAAGAUAAUGACGGUAGCUAUAGAAGAAGCCCCGGCUAAAUUCGUGCCAGCAGCCGCGGUAAUACGAAUGGGGCAAGCGUUGUUCGGAAUCACUGGGCUUAAAGCGUGCGUAGGCGGUUAUGAAAGUCAGAAGUGAAAGCCCAGGGCUCAACCCUGGAACUGCUUUUGAAACUCCAUAACUAGAAUCCGGGAGGGGUCAGUAGAAUUCCUAGCGUAGAGGUGAAAUUCGCAGAUAUUAGGAGGAAUACCAGUGGCGUAGGCGACUGACUGGACCGGCAUUGACGCUGAGGUACGAAAGCGUGGGUAGCAAAC
Molecule: ribosomal RNA, 400 nt
Filed under: uncultured bacterium
Lineage: Bacteria
Description: bacterial SSU rRNA
Rfam family: Bacterial small subunit ribosomal RNA
Source: RNAcentral